CGUCCCGUCGAAAGGAAAGAAAACGCAAAAGAAAUCUCACGCCGGCGCUGCGCCGCCACUGCCGCCGCCGUUUGCUCCAGAUAUCCUGCUUGCAUCGCCGUCGUUCCUGGCGCUGCCGCCACGCGUGCCCGUGCCGAGGUCACUUAACCAGGGUUUGCUGAGCAGAGAGAUCGAAGGCAAAGGAGCCGCCGCCGUGAAGGAAGAUCUCCUCCACCCAGCCCGCUGGCACCGUCGCCUUUGGGUUCAGAUCAAACCGCACGGCUUCGGUGAUGGCCGCCUCUGCUCCCCAAUUGUGCCGGCCUCUUCUAGGCGGCUACACCACUCCGUCCUCUGCCAGGUCGCCGCCGCCAGGGACGUGGACGCACGCGGGGCGGUCGGCAGCCAGUGAAUGUCUGAACGAUGACGCGCGUGCGAGUGUGCGGCGCGGUGCACGGAUCACCUCGCUGCCGCUACCGAGUUACCUGCUCCCAGCGAUGCCCUCUUGUCUCAUCCGUACAGGUUGCCACCAGGAAGAGGUGUGAUGGCGGCCAAGAAGAGAACAAUGGGACACUGAAGUCCCUUGGAUGUCCGUGUUUAUCACAGGAGCUCUCUCUUUUUCAUCUUUCUUUUCCUCUACUUUAUCCUAGAUCGGUGAUUACUAAUUUCCAUGUCUACUGGGAGGAAUAAAGUUGGCAGGUGAACCUUUGCAACUAUGUCAAUCACUUCUUUGUUUAAACUCAUAAUAUCAUCCCUUUUAAGCUAUUAAAUCAUAAGACAUAGUUUUGCUGUUGACUUUUUCUUAUUCCCACUUUAUUGCUUCACAUAGACUACUUGGGGCUUAUUUGAAAUAACCUGCUCUGAUAGUGCAGGAAAUCAUCAUAAAUGAAAAUAAAAGAUUUCAUAAGAAGGCAUACCAUGAUUUGGUGGAGAAGACGAAGGCUUUGUGUGGAAAAUUAGCUAGCUUUGGCAGGUUUGUUAGGCUAAUAUAAGGUAGGGAGCUUUGCUACAUGAUAAUACACAGAUGAUAUAUACUGGAGGAUAUUUUGCAAUUAGCAAGUUUCAAGGUCACAUGGAUGCUGAUGGCUCUUAGGUGUAUGUGAUAUUUGUUGCUGGG
This is a long non-coding RNA of Triticum dicoccoides, 1093 nucleotides long. RefSeq lists it as uncharacterized. The transcript has 4 exons. The record is from RefSeq and is a predicted model, not a curated record. Lineage: Eukaryota; Viridiplantae; Streptophyta; Magnoliopsida; Poales; Poaceae.